This 526-nucleotide ribosomal RNA is filed under the name Enterobacter cancerogenus. Its description in RNAcentral is "bacterial SSU rRNA". It matches the Rfam family "Bacterial small subunit ribosomal RNA", at positions 1 to 522 of the family's 1533-position model. Lineage: Bacteria; Pseudomonadati; Pseudomonadota; Gammaproteobacteria; Enterobacterales; Enterobacteriaceae. The record is from RNAcentral.
UGGAGAGUUUGAUCCUGGCUCAGAUUGAACGCUGGCGGCAGGCCUAACACAUGCAAGUCGAACGGUAGCACAGAGAGCUUGCUCUCGGGUGACGAGUGGCGGACGGGUGAGUAAUGUCUGGGAAACUGCCUGAUGGAGGGGGAUAACUACUGGAAACGGUAGCUAAUACCGCAUAACGUCGCAAGACCAAAGAGGGGGACCUUCGGGCCUCUUGCCAUCAGAUGUGCCCAGAUGGGAUUAGCUAGUAGGUGGGGUAACGGCUCACCUAGGCGACGAUCCCUAGCUGGUCUGAGAGGAUGACCAGCCACACUGGAACUGAGACACGGUCCAGACUCCUACGGGAGGCAGCAGUGGGGAAUAUUGCACAAUGGGCGCAAGCCUGAUGCAGCCAUGCCGCGUGUAUGAAGAAGGCCUUCGGGUUGUAAAGUACUUUCAGCGGGGAGGAAGGCGRURAGGUUAAUAACCUYRUCGAUUGACGUUACCCGCAGAAGAAGCACCGGCUAACUCCGUGCCAGCAGCCGCGGUA